Molecule: ribosomal RNA, 122 nt
Filed under: Pteropus alecto (black flying fox)
Lineage: Eukaryota; Metazoa; Chordata; Mammalia; Chiroptera; Pteropodidae
Source: RNAcentral
GUCUACAGCCAUGCCACCCUGAAUCGCGUGCCUGAUCCCGUCUGAUCUCGGAAGCUAAGCAGGGUCGGGCCUGGUUAGUACUUGGAUGGGAGACCACCUAGGAAGACCAGGUGCUAUAGGUG